RNAcentral lists this ribosomal RNA (253 nucleotides) under uncultured bacterium. Its description in RNAcentral is "partial 16S ribosomal RNA". It matches the Rfam family "Bacterial small subunit ribosomal RNA", at positions 524 to 776 of the family's 1533-position model. The record is from RNAcentral.
UACGUAGGGCGCAAGCGUUAUCCGGAAUUAUUGGGCGUAAAGAGCUCGUAGGCGGUUUGUCGCGUCUGCCGUGAAAGUCCGGGGCUCAACUCCGGAUCUGCGGUGGGUACGGGCAGACUAGAGUGAUGUAGGGGAGACUGGAAUUCCUGGUGUAGCGGUGAAAUGCGCAGAUAUCAGGAGGAACACCGGUGGCGAAGGCGGGUCUCUGGGCCAAAACUGACGCUGAGGAGCGAAAGCGUGGGGAGCGAACAGG